AGGAGAGUUUGAUCCUGGCUCAGGACGAACGCUGGCGGCGUGCUUAAUACAUGCAAGUCGAACGGAUAUGUAGCAAUACAUAUUAGUGGCGGACGGGUGAGUAACGCGUAAUCAACCUGCCUUUUACAGGGGAAUAACACUUGGAAACAGGUGCUAAUACCGCAUAUGACCACAACACGGCAUCGUGAAGGGGUAAAAGUUUUAUCGGUAAAAGAGGGGGUUGCGUAUCAUUAGCUUGUUGGUGAGGUAACGGCCCACCAAGGCGACGAUGAUUAACCGGCCUGAGAGGGUAAACGGUCACACUGGAACUGAGACACGGUCCAGACUCCUACGGGAGGCAGCAGUGGGGAAUAUUGCGCAAUGGGCGAAAGCCUGACGCAGCGACGCCGCGUGGAGGAUGAAGGUUUUCGGAUUGUAAACUCCUGUCGGAAGGAACGAAAGAUGUUGGUGUUAAUAACACCAGCAAGUGACGGUACCUUUAAAGGAAGCACCGGCUAACUCUGUGCCAGCAGCCGCGGUAAGACAGAGGGUGCAAGCGUUGUUCGGAAUUACUGGGCGUAAAGGGCGCGUAGGCGGAUAGAUAAGUUGGAUGUGAAAUACCGUAUUUUAAGUAUGGAACUGCAUUCAAGACUGCCUGUCUAGAAUAUCGGAGAGGGAAGCGGAAUUCCUGGUGUAGAGGUGAAAUUCGUAGAUAUCAGGAGGAACACCGGAGGCGAAGGCGGCUUCCUGGCCGACGAUUGACGCUGAGGCGCGAAAGUGUGGGGAGCAAACAGGAUUAGAUACCCUGGUAGUCCCCU
Molecule: ribosomal RNA, 797 nt
Filed under: uncultured Bacillota bacterium
Lineage: Bacteria; Bacillati; Bacillota
Description: bacterial SSU rRNA
Rfam family: Bacterial small subunit ribosomal RNA
Source: RNAcentral